RNAcentral lists this unclassified non-coding RNA (347 nucleotides) under soil metagenome. RNAcentral describes it as "partial contains 5.8S ribosomal RNA, internal transcribed spacer 2, and large subunit ribosomal RNA". The stretch from base 1 to 120 matches the Rfam family "5.8S ribosomal RNA", at positions 35 to 154 of the family's 154-position model. The record is from RNAcentral.
GAUGAAGAACGUAGCGAAAUGCGAUAAGUAGUGUGAAUUGCAGAAUUCAGUGAAUCAUCGAAUCUUUGAACGCACAUUGCGCCCUUUGGUAUUCCUUAGGGCAUGCCUGUUCGAGCGUCAUUUCAACCCUCAAGCCCCCCGGGUUUGGUGUUGGGGAUCGGCUCUGCCUCACGGCGGUGCCGCCCCCGAAAUACAUUGGCGGUCUCGCUGCAGCCUCCAUUGCGUAGUAGCUAACACCUCGCAACUGGAACGCGGCGCGGCCAUGCCGUAAAACCCCAACUUCUGAAUGUUGACCUCGGAUCAGGUAGGAAUACCCGCUGAACUUAAGCAUAUCAAUAAGCGGAGGA